This 590-nucleotide unclassified non-coding RNA is filed under the name Hevea brasiliensis (rubber tree). The record is from RNAcentral. Lineage: Eukaryota; Viridiplantae; Streptophyta; Magnoliopsida; Malpighiales; Euphorbiaceae.
GCUCUUGUUCUAGCCGAUCUUCAGGUACCUCGCUCUCCUCCUUCUACUUCUUAAUUGAAGUACCGCCUCCAUAGAACGUGUUCUGUUGGUCUGAAAUGCAGUGACUUUUAGGAUUCAUAAACAUUCUGCCUUGGUUUGUCACUCGUCCGCAACCUAUUAGGAUUUAGCCUCAAUUUAUACAAUAUUAGCUGGGAUAACGCCAAGCAAAAUUUCCAAUAAAGUACGGCUUUUGGCGUCUGAAAAUUGCUCAUUUUCAAAGUAUUGCAAGAGGGUAUAGAGUUGCUUUUCUGCUCGAGGUUGUAAACUUUUCAAAAUUGAGAUUUUUCUCCUAAAACUGGAUGAAAAACUUGUACUUAUAUUUGCCUUUAGGCAAAUUAAAUAAUUGGGUUAACACUAUCUUGCGGGUUUCCGGGCGCUGGAUACGCUAAUAACAGCCCAAAUAACAGGAGUUGAUUCCAACUGUCAAAUUGGACUUGUUUAGUGCAUGCUUGGCAAAUGAUAUGUGGGUUUUCCUAAUAAUUGCCCUUUCCUUGGUUCUCAUUCCUUUGGGUUGAUCUAGUUCACUUCUUUGUAGCUUUAGCUUCUACUUU